RNAcentral lists this ribosomal RNA (281 nucleotides) under Carboxylicivirga sp. M1479. RNAcentral's name for it is "Bacterial large subunit ribosomal RNA". It matches the Rfam family "Bacterial large subunit ribosomal RNA", at positions 557 to 835 of the family's 2925-position model. The record is from Rfam by way of RNAcentral. Lineage: Bacteria; Pseudomonadati; Bacteroidota; Bacteroidia; Marinilabiliales; Marinilabiliaceae.
CGUGCGCCUACAAGCGGUUGGAGCGGAUUUAAUCCGUGACAGCGUGCCUUUUGCAUAAUGAGCCUACGAGUUAGUCGUAGUUAGCAAGGUUAAGACUUUCAGGGUCGGAGCCGAAGCGAAAGCGAGUCUGAAUAGGGCGAAAAAGUUAGCUGCGCUAGACGCGAAACCAAGUGAUCUACCCAUGAUCAGGUUGAAGCUGUGGUAACACACAGUGGAGGACCGAACCAGUUGACGUUGAAAAGUCUUUGGAUGAAUUGUGGGUAGGGGUGAAAGGCCAAUCA